UACGGGGGGUGCGAGCGUUGUCCGGAUUUACUGGGCGUAAAGAGCGCGCAGGCGGUCGUUCAAGUCGCGUGUGAAAGCCCCCGGCUCAACUGGGGAGGGUCACGCGAUACUGAUCGACUCGAAGGCAGGAGAGGGAAGUGGAAUUCCCGGUGUAGUGGUGAAAUGCGUAGAUAUCGGGAGGAACACCAGUGGCGAAGGCGGUUCUCUGGGACGGUACUGACGCUGAGACGCGAAAGCGUGGGGAGCGAACAGG
RNAcentral lists this ribosomal RNA (253 nucleotides) under uncultured bacterium. RNAcentral's name for it is "partial 16S ribosomal RNA". It matches the Rfam family "Bacterial small subunit ribosomal RNA", at positions 524 to 776 of the family's 1533-position model. The record is from RNAcentral.